GAGACUACGGAUAGUAAGCCGGUAAUUGAUAUUAGGCUCUUUUCGCCGAGGGAUCGGGUUAAGGGGAGGCUAAGAAAGUCGCAUAACAAUUUAAUCAAUCUAAUAAUCAAGGGUAGUAUGUAAGAUAGAGUGGAAUAGAUGAAAUUGUUAGUACCCAGCAGCAUCCAUCCAUCCAUCUAAUAAUCAACAUUUAUUUUGCAUGUUAAUAUUUUUAUCCUCAAAAUCCAAUUUAUUUAAUUUUAUUUUUCAAGUCUUAUUAUUU
RNAcentral lists this long non-coding RNA (262 nucleotides) under Vigna radiata. RNAcentral's name for it is "long non-coding RNA (VRAD_LNC010609)". Lineage: Eukaryota; Viridiplantae; Streptophyta; Magnoliopsida; Fabales; Fabaceae. The record is from RNAcentral.